This 72-nucleotide transfer RNA is filed under the name Nitrobacter winogradskyi Nb-255. It matches the Rfam family "tRNA". Rfam says of the family: Transfer RNA (tRNA) molecules are approximately 80 nucleotides in length. Their secondary structure includes four short double-helical elements and three loops (D, anti-codon, and T loops). The record is from Rfam by way of RNAcentral. Lineage: Bacteria; Pseudomonadati; Pseudomonadota; Alphaproteobacteria; Hyphomicrobiales; Nitrobacteraceae.
UCCCUGGUAGCUCAGCGGUAGAGCAUUCGACUGUUAAUCGAAUGGUCGCAGGUUCGAAUCCUGCCCGGGGAG